GAUGAACGCUGGCGGCGUGCCUAAUACAUGCGAGUCGAGCGAACAGACGAGGAGCUUGCUCCUUUGACGUUAGCGGCGGACGGGUGAGUAACACGUGGGUAACCUACCUAUAAGACUGGGAUAACUUCGGGAAACCGGAGCUAAUACCGGAUAAUAUUUCGAACCGCAUGGUUCGAUAGUGAAAGAUGGCUCUGCUAUCACUUAUAGAUGGACCUGCGCCGUAUUAGCUAGUUGGUAAGGUAACGGCUUACCAAGGCAACGAUACGUAGCCGACCUGAGAGGGUGAUCGGCCACACUGGAACUGAGACACGGUCCAGACUCCUACGGGAGGCAGCAGUAGGGAAUCUUCCGCAAUGGGCGAAAGCCUGACGGAGCAACGCCGCGUGAGUGAUGAAGGUCUUCGGAUCGUAAAACUCUGUUAUUAGGGAAGAACAAACGUGUAAGUAACUGUGCACGUCUUGACGGUACCUAAUCAGAAAGCCACGGCUAACUACGUG
Molecule: ribosomal RNA, 497 nt
Filed under: uncultured bacterium
Lineage: Bacteria
Description: partial 16S ribosomal RNA
Rfam family: Bacterial small subunit ribosomal RNA
Source: RNAcentral